GUUCUAUCCAACAUUGCAUCUGGCCCUGGAUUAGCUUUUCUUCGUAAAGAAACAAAAUGGGUAACGAGAAAAUAACUGAUACUACCCAUGCUGCUGUAACAAGAUGCUUUGCCCUUCGCCCUUUACGAGAAGUUAAUGUAAGACUCACAUGAUUUCGAGAAGUUCAUUGGGUGAGUUAUGGCGUCAUAGCGAUCGAUACUCAUAGCUACUAGCACAUACGUAGAGGAAUAUGUUACGCAAACUUGGGAAAAGCGUAUGAGCUUACAAGCAAUAUUACCGGCCCUCCAUGAAAUUGUUAUUCGCCAUAUUAUGUCGAACAAAAAGCACCGUAGAGUUACCGAGCACAAUAACAGUGAAGAGUAUCCACAGGACUGCGAACUGUUCCAUCUGAAAGAUAACAAAUUUGAAUAUUAUUAAUAAACAAUGAGAAAAAAAAUUAAUUUGACGAAAGCAUAGCAAAAUUUUCAGAAACGUCUUCGUUUCUGCCACGGUGAACAAACAUUAGGACAUUGACUACAUUUCUGCAGAAAAUUUGCUUAAACUUGAAAGGAUGACUUUGUAUCUCGUCUUUGAAAUUGAAAUAAUCGAAUUUAAAUGUUGUACUGUUGUCCGGCAAGUAAUAGGAUUGAUUUUCUUCCGCCGUGACUGUACUUCGGAACGUGCGCGCACCGACUGGAUUCAGUAGAAGACAUUCCUCGCUAACGAACGAGCGGCUGGUCAAUUUUCAGCGAGCACCUGGAGAGUCAGGACAAACAUUUUCGCGCGACGUGUUUCUGUGAGUGGUGCAAGCCGAAAAUACAGCGUUCGUUAGAGCAGAGGUACUCGAUUAAAUUCUGUGUGAAACUCGGUAAAUCUGCGACAGAGACGUUUGAUAUGAUCAAGCAGGCUUACCCAGAUAUUGCUUCAGCAAGAGGUGGUGUGUUUUGGUGCCUUUUUGGAGAGCCGGGAAGAGGUCGCUGAUGAAGACCGUGCUGAGAGAUCUGCGACUUCGACAAACACCGGCAAUGUGAUUCGUGUGCGCAAAGUUUUGAAUUCAGACCGUCGACUAGGUAUUCGUUUAAUUGCCCUGAUGUUAAAUUUAUCACAUUUGUUUUAAACAUGCGUAAGGUGUGCGCGAAGAGGGUCCCAAAAGUGCUCACUGACGACCCGAAAUUCGGGCGAUUGGGAGUGUGCCAAGAGAAUUUGAACAUACAUACAUAAGUUAAAGUGACCCCCAAUUUUUGAACGAUUCAUGGAUCUUUGAGUAUGAUCCCGAUACAAAGAGGCAAUCUUUCGAGCAUUUUGAGACGACGGACAACACAACACACACUCAAGGCUAUUCCGGAAAAUGCCUUCCGUGACACCUUCAAUGCUAGGAAAGAGCCUAUUUUGAAAGUUUUUAAAGAAUUGUAACGAUUGGUUAAAUAAAGUUUUUAAAAUCGACUCAGACUUGUUACUUUCCGCACUAACCCUGUAAUAAGUAAAAAGUUUGGUAGAAGUGGAUGAUUUUGUGUUCCAUUGUGUUAUCAAUAAUUUUUCAAUUCACUACUUUGUGUGUACGUACGCAUGUUUAUGUACAAAUAAAUGUGCAUUUAUAUUGUGGCCGUACGUGUAUACAAUAACGCAGGUAUUUAAGCAUUAUAUUGUUUAACGGCCCGCAAGCCCAUUUUUAGACGUUUAAUACGUGAUGCGCUGCGAAAAGCUUUUUUUGGAUAAAAUAUGAAAGGAAAAGCUAGCCGCUGAGAUUAAAGAUGUAAAUAUGUACGUCGCGACAGCAGUUACAUGCACAAAUACAAAUAUGUAUGUAUAUUGUGUCGCGCGUACGUACAUAGGUAUGUACGCACGAUUUGAAUAAUUGUAGUCAUGGCAACUAAGGCGUAGUGACAUCUUCUCAAGUCUGCUCAAGUCUGCUGUUCUGCCAGCCUAAAAAAUAAGUAAAAAGUAAAGUAAAAUCUGUCUGUCCUAAAGCAAAGAGCCCCUAAAGAGAAAAUAAAAAUAAUAAUCCGUAUGGGGUAGAAUUUACUUUCACUUGUACAUAUUUCUG
Long non-coding RNA from Bactrocera dorsalis (oriental fruit fly), 2023 nucleotides. RefSeq lists it as uncharacterized. The transcript is spliced from 3 exons. NCBI's taxonomy places the organism in Eukaryota, Metazoa, Arthropoda, Insecta, Diptera, Tephritidae. The record is from RefSeq and is a predicted model, not a curated record.